RNAcentral lists this ribosomal RNA (468 nucleotides) under uncultured bacterium. Its description in RNAcentral is "partial 16S ribosomal RNA". It matches the Rfam family "Bacterial small subunit ribosomal RNA", at positions 28 to 507 of the family's 1533-position model. The record is from RNAcentral.
GACGAACGCUGGCGGCGUGCUUAACACAUGCAAGUCGAACGGAAAGGCCCUGCUUUUGUGGGGUGCUCGAGUGGCGAACGGGUGAGUAACACGUGAGUAACCUGCCCUUGACUUUGGGAUAACUUCAGGAAACUGGGGCUAAUACCGGAUAGGAGCUCCUGCUGCAUGGUGGGGGUUGGAAAGUUUCGGCGGUUGGGGAUGGACUCGCGGCUUAUCAGCUUGUUGGUGGGGUAGUGGCUUACCAAGGCUUUGACGGGUAGCCGGGCUGAGUGGGUGUCCGGCCACAUUAAGACUAAGAUACGGCCCAGACUAAUACGGGAGGCAGCAGUGAGGAUGAUUGCACGAAGAGCGGAAGCCAGAUGGAGCAUCGCCGCGUGCAGGAUAACGGCCUACGGGUUUGGUUGCUCUUUCGCCUGUGACGAAGCGAGGGUGACGGUAAUGGGUAAAGAAGCACCGGCUAACUACGUG